GACGAACGCUGGCGGCGUGCUUAACACAUGCAAGUCGAACGGAAAGGCCCUGCUUUUGUGGGGUGCUCGAGUGGCGAACGGGUGAGUAACACGUGAGUAACCUGCCCUUGACUUUGGGAUAACUUCAGGAAACUGGGGCUAAUACCGGAUAGGAGCUCCUGCUGCAUGGUGGGGGUUGGAAAGUUUCGGCGGAUGGGGAUGGACUCGCGGCUUAUCAGCUUGUUGGUGGGGUAGUGGCUUACCAAGGCUUUGACGGGUAGCCGGCCUGAGAGGGUGACCGGCCACAUUGGGACUGAGAUACGGCCCAGACUCCUACGGGAGGCAGCAGUGGGGAAUAUUGCACAAUGGGCGGAGGCCUGAUGCGGCAACGCCGCGUGCGGGAUGACGGCCUUCGGGUUGUAGACCGCUUUCGCCUGUGACGAAGCGUGAGUGACGGUAAUGGGUAAAGAAGCACCGGCUAACUACGUG
This 468-nucleotide ribosomal RNA is filed under the name uncultured bacterium. Its description in RNAcentral is "partial 16S ribosomal RNA". It matches the Rfam family "Bacterial small subunit ribosomal RNA", at positions 28 to 507 of the family's 1533-position model. The record is from RNAcentral.